This 301-nucleotide ribosomal RNA is filed under the name uncultured bacterium. Its description in RNAcentral is "partial 16S ribosomal RNA". It matches the Rfam family "Bacterial small subunit ribosomal RNA", at positions 509 to 807 of the family's 1533-position model. The record is from RNAcentral.
CAGUCGCCACGGUAAUACAAAGGGGGCUAGCGUUGUUCGGAUUUACUGGGCGUAAAGGGCGCGUAGGCGGACUGAUAAGUCAGGGGUGAAAUCCCAAGGCUCAACCUUGGAACUGCCUUUGAUACUGUUUGUCUUGAGUUCGAGAGAGGUAAGUGGAACUGCGAGUGUAGAGGUGAAAUUCGUAGAUAUUCGCAAGAACACCAGAGGCGAAGGCGGCUUACUGGCUCGAAACUGACGCUGAGGCGCGAAAGCGUGGGGAGCAAACAGGAUUAGAGACCCCAGUAGUCCCUGUCUCUUAUAC